This 465-nucleotide ribosomal RNA is filed under the name uncultured bacterium. RNAcentral's name for it is "bacterial SSU rRNA". It matches the Rfam family "Bacterial small subunit ribosomal RNA", at positions 917 to 1382 of the family's 1533-position model. The record is from RNAcentral.
GGGCCCGCACAAGCGGAGGAACAUGUGGUUUAAUUCGAUGAUACGCGAGGAACCUUACCCGGGCUCGAACGACAGGGGAAUAUGGGGGAAACUUCAUAGCCAGCAAUGGUCGCUGUCGAGGUGCUGCAUGGUUGUCGUCAGCUCGUGCCGUGAGGUGUCGGCUUAAGUGCCAUAACGAGCGCAACCCUUACUUUUAGUUGCCAGCGGGUAAUGCCGGGGACUCUAGAGGAACUGCCAGCGUAAGCUGUGAGGAAGGUGGGGAUGACGUCAAAUCAGCACGGCCCUUACGUCCGGGGCGACACACGUGUUACAAUGGUCGGUACAGAGGGCAGCUACCUGGUGACAGGAUGCGAAUCUCUAAAGCCGAUCUCAGUUCGGAUCGAAGUCUGCAACUCGACUUCGUGAAGCUGGAUUCGCUAGUAAUCGCGCAUCAGCCAUGGCGCGGUGAAUACGUUCCCGGGCCUU